This 253-nucleotide ribosomal RNA is filed under the name uncultured bacterium. RNAcentral's name for it is "partial 16S ribosomal RNA". It matches the Rfam family "Bacterial small subunit ribosomal RNA", at positions 524 to 776 of the family's 1533-position model. The record is from RNAcentral.
UACGUAGGGUGCGAGCGUUAAUCGGAAUUACUGGGCGUAAAGCGUGCGCAGGCGGUUUUGUAAGUCAGAUGUGAAAGCCCCGGGCUUAACCCGGGAAUGGCAUUGAAUACUACUGUGCUGGAGGAUCGGAGGGGGGACUGGAAUUCUUGGUGUAGCAGUGAAAUGCGUAGAUAUCAAGAGGAACACCAGUGGCGAAGGCGAGUCCCUGGACGAUACCUGACACUGAGGCACGAAAGCCAAGGGAGCAAACAGG